This 909-nucleotide ribosomal RNA is filed under the name uncultured bacterium. Its description in RNAcentral is "bacterial SSU rRNA". It matches the Rfam family "Bacterial small subunit ribosomal RNA", at positions 8 to 916 of the family's 1533-position model. The record is from RNAcentral.
AGAGUUUGAUCAUGGCUCAGGAUGAACGCUAGCGGCAGGCUUAACACAUGCAAGUCGAGGGGCAGCACGGGUAGCAAUAUCUGGUGGCGACCGGCGCAAGGGUGCGUAACGCGUGAGCAACAUGCCCGUAUCAGGGGAAUAAUCCAGGGAAACUUGGUCUAAUACCCCAUAGUAAAUAUUAAAGGCAUCUUUAAUAUUUUAAAGCUUUGGUGGAUACGGAUUGGCUCGCGUGACAUUAGCUAGAUGGUAAGGUAACGGCUUACCAUGGCUACGAUGUCUAGGGGUUCUGAGAGGAAGAUCCCCCACACUGGAACUGAGACACGGUCCAGACUCCUACGGGAGGCAGCAGUGAGGAAUAUUGGACAAUGGAUGGAAAUCUGAUCCAGCCAUGCCGCGUGCAGGAAGACGGCCCUAUGGGUUGUAAACUGCUUUUAUAUGGGAGCAAUAAGACCUACGUGUAGGUUGAUGAGAGUACCAUAUGAAUAAGCACCGGCUAACUCCGUGCCAGCAGCCGCGGUAAUACGGAGGGUGCAAGCGUUAUCCGGAUUUAUUGGGUUUAAAGGGUGCGUAGGCGGUUUGAUAAGUCAGCGGUGAAAUAUUUCAGCUUAACUGGAAGGGUGCCGUUGAUACUGUCAGGCUUGAAUUUAGUUGCUGUGGGUGGAAUGUGUGGUGUAGCGGUGAAAUGCAUAGAUAUCACACAGAAUAUCGAUUGCGAAGGCAGCUCACAAAGCUAAUAUUGACGCUGAUGCACGAAAGUGUGGGGAUCAAACAGGAUUAGAUACCCUGGUAGUCCACACUGUAAACGAUGAUAACUCGCUGUCGGCGAUACAUAGUCGGUGGUCAAGCGAAAGCGAUAAGUUAUCCACCUGGGGAGUACGACCGCAAGGUGAAACUCAAAUGAAUUGACGG